Molecule: ribosomal RNA, 255 nt
Filed under: uncultured bacterium
Lineage: Bacteria
Description: partial 16S ribosomal RNA
Rfam family: Bacterial small subunit ribosomal RNA
Source: RNAcentral
UACGUAGGGGGCAAGCGUUGUCCGGAAUCACUGGGCGUAAAGCGCGUGUAGGCGGAUCGGCAAGUCUGCUGUGAAAGCUCCUGGCUUAACCGGGAGUGGUCGGUGGAAACUGCCAGUCUGGAGGACGGUAGAGGUAGGUAGAAUUCCCGGUGUAGUGGUGAAAUGCGUAGAGAUCGGGAGGAAUACCUGUGGCGAAGGCGGCCUACUGGGCCGGACCUGACGCUGGAGACGCGAAGGCGUGGGGGAGCGAACGGG